CAGCACGGGAAUACGUAGGUGGCAAGCGUUGUCCGGAAUUAUUGGGCGUAAAGCGCGCGCAGGCGGAUAGGUCAGUCUGUCUUAAAAGUUCGGGGCUUAACCCCGUGAUGGGAUGGAAACUGCCAAUCUAGAGUAUCGGAGAGGAAAGUGGAAUUCCUAGUGUAGCGGUGAAAUGCGUAGAUAUUAGGAAGAACACCAGUGGCGAAGGCGACUUUCUGGACGAAAACUGACGCUGAGGCGCGAAAGCCAGGGGAGCGAACGGGAUUAGAUACCCGGGUAGUCCCUGUCUCUUAUACACAUU
Molecule: ribosomal RNA, 301 nt
Filed under: uncultured bacterium
Lineage: Bacteria
Description: partial 16S ribosomal RNA
Rfam family: Bacterial small subunit ribosomal RNA
Source: RNAcentral